RNAcentral lists this ribosomal RNA (1481 nucleotides) under uncultured Bordetella sp. RNAcentral's name for it is "partial 16S-23S ribosomal RNA intergenic spacer". It matches the Rfam family "Bacterial small subunit ribosomal RNA". The record is from RNAcentral. Lineage: Bacteria; Pseudomonadati; Pseudomonadota; Betaproteobacteria; Burkholderiales; Alcaligenaceae.
AGUUCGAUUCUGGCUCAGAUUGAACGCUGGCGGGAUGCUUUACACAUGCAAGUCGAACGGCAGCACGGACUUCGGUCUGGUGGCGAGUGGCGAACGGGUGAGUAAUGUAUCGGAACGUGCCUAGUAGCGGGGAUAACUACGCGAAGAGUGUAGCUAAUACCGCACAACGCCCUUCGGGGAAAGCGGGGACCUUCGGGCCUCGCACUAUUAGAGCGGCCGAUAUCGGAUUAGCUUAGUUGGUGGGGUAACGGCUCACCAAGGCGACGAUCCGUAGCUGGUUUGAGAGGACCACGGUCACCGACUGAGACACGGCCCAGACUCCUACGGGAGGCAGCAGUGGGGAAUUUUGGACAAUGGGGGAAACCCUGAUCCAGCCAUCCCGCGUGUGCGAUGAAGGCCUUCGGGUUGUGUGCUACUUUUGGCAGGAAAGAAACGGCACGGGAUAAUACCCCGUGCAACUGACGGUACCUGCAGAAUAAGCACCGGCUAGCUACGUGCCAGCAGCCGCGGUAAUACGUAGGGGUGCAAGCGUUAAUCGGAAUUCAUUGGGCGUAAAGCGUGCGCAGGCGGUUCGGAAAGAAAGAUGUGAAAUCCCAGAGCUAACUUUUGAACUGCAUUUUUAACUACUGAGCUAGAGUGCGUUGUAGAGGGAGGUGGAAUUCGCGUGUAGCAGUGAAAUGCGUAGAUAUGCGGAGGAACACCGAUGGCGAAGGCAGCCUCCUGGGAUAACACUGACGCUCAUGCACGAAAGCGUGGGAGCAAACAGGAUUAGAUACCCUGGUAGUCCACGCCCUAAACGAUGUCAACUAGCUGUUGGGGCCUUCGGGCCUUGGUAGCGCAGCUAACGCGUGAAGUUGACCGCCUGGGGAGUACGGUCGCAAGAUUAAAACUCAAAGGAAUUCGACGGGACCCGCACAAGCGGUGGAUGAUGUGAUUAAUUCGAUGCAACGCGAAAAACCUUACCUACCCUUGACAUGUCUGAAUCCCGAAGAGAUCGGGAGUGCUCGCAAGAGAACCGGAACACAGGUGCUGCAUGGCUGUCGUCAGCUCGUGUCGUGAGAUGUUGGGUUAAGUCCCGCAACGAGCGCAACCCUUGUCAUUAGUUGCUACGAAAGGGCACUCCACGUGAGACUGCCGGUGACAAACCGGAGGAAGGUGGGGAUGACGUCAAGUCCUCAUGGCCCUUGCAGGGUAGGGCUUCACACGUCAUACAAUGGUCGGGACAGGGUCGCCAACCCGCGAGGGGGAGCCAAUCCCAGAAACCCGAUCGUAGUCCGGAUCGCAGUCUGCAACUCGACUGCGUGAAGUCGGAAUCGCUAGUAAUCGCGGAUCAGCAUGUCGCGGUGAAUACGUUCCCGGGUCUUGUACACACCGCCCGUCACACCAUGGGAGUGGGUUUUACCAGAAGUAGUUAGCCUAACCGUAAGGAGGGCGAUUACCACGGUAGGAUUCAUGACUGGGGUGAAGUCGUAACAAGGUAA